Molecule: unclassified non-coding RNA, 307 nt
Filed under: plant metagenome
Description: partial contains 5.8S ribosomal RNA, internal transcribed spacer 2, and large subunit ribosomal RNA
Rfam family: 5.8S ribosomal RNA (bases 1-105)
Source: RNAcentral
GAAAUGCGAUAAGUAGUGUGAAUUGCAGAAUUUAGCGAAUCAUCGAAUCUUUGAACGCACAUUGCGCCCCUUGGUAUUCCAUGGGGCAUGCCUGUUCGAGAGUCAUUUCAACCCUCAAGCACUGCUUGGUGUUGGGCGUUUGUCCCGCCUACGCGCGUGGACUCGCCUCAAAGUCAUUGGCAGCUGUUCCCCUUCGGCUCGUAAGCGCAGCACAGUCGGCGCCCGGAGCUCUGGUGGGAUGGCGUCCAGCAAGCUAUAUUUUCAGGCUUGACCUCGGAUCAGGUAGGGAUACCCGCUGAACUUAAGC